Carassius carassius (crucian carp) is the source of this 569-nucleotide long non-coding RNA. RefSeq lists it as uncharacterized. NCBI's taxonomy places the organism in Eukaryota, Metazoa, Chordata, Actinopteri, Cypriniformes, Cyprinidae. The transcript is spliced from 3 exons. The record is from RefSeq and is a predicted model, not a curated record.
CACUGGCCGCACAAAAGACCAAUUGAAGAAAAUAUUUAUUGCAAAGAGUGAAAAUUACAUUUGCUUUAUUGGUCCUCUGUGCAAAUGUUAAUCAUCAUUUACUGCAUCCAGCUUCGGCAUAACGGAUCACUCUCGGGUGAGGAGACCAUUUUGAGGAGGUUUCAGUUGUACUAUUUCAGAUACAAUACAAAAUGGAGCCUGAUUCAUAGUGCAGAGAUUGACAGAGCAGCCGUCACGUCUAAAAAAAACACUACACUAAUGUAUUCUACGUUAAUCAAAGGUCUGUACAUGGUCUAUAAAAAAACCAACAGCAGAAGGAGAGACAGAGACAGAGGGCCCAGUGGCAGACUGAGGAGCCCAGAGUGAAAGAAUCGAUGCGGCCGCAGGGGGAGGCGUUCAGAAGGCUGGACGCAGCCUGAGCUGCCCCACCGAGCCCCUGCCUCAAUGGGUCAGCUGCAGAGCGCAGCAGGGGUAGAACACACCACUACCAGCCCUACAGCCACUGAGAGAGACAGACAUGCAGAGAGAGAAAGACAGGCAGUAACAUUUUUUGGGGAAGAAAUUCAACU